RNAcentral lists this ribosomal RNA (972 nucleotides) under uncultured bacterium. Its description in RNAcentral is "bacterial SSU rRNA". It matches the Rfam family "Bacterial small subunit ribosomal RNA", at positions 8 to 963 of the family's 1533-position model. The record is from RNAcentral.
AGAGUUUGAUCAUGGCUCAGAACGAACGCUGGCGGCGUGGAUAAGACAUGCAAGUCGAGCGAGAUUUUUUCCUGUAGCAAUACAGGGAAAAGUCUAGCGGCGAACGGGUGCUUAACACGUGGGCAACCUGCCGAGAAGUGGGGGAUAGCUCGCCGAAAGGCGAAUUAAUACCGCAUGUGAUCAGAGUGGACAUCCAUUCGAAAUCAAAGUCGGGGCAACCUGACGCUUUUUGAGGGGCCCGCGGCCUAUCAGCUAGUUGGUGAGGUAACGGCCCACCAAGGCUUUGACGGGUAGCUGGUCUGAGAGGACGACCAGCCACACUGGGACUGAGACACGGCCCAGACACCUACGGGUGGCAGCAGUCGAGAAUUUUUCUCAAUGGGGGAAACCCUGAAGGAGCGACGCCGCGUGGAGGAUGAAGGUCUUCGGAUUGUAAACUCCUGUCAUUGGGGAACAAUGCGUAAAUAUUAACUGUAUUUGCGUUGAUAGUACCCGAAGAGGAAGAGACGGCUAACUCUGUGCCAGCAGCCGCGGUAAUACAGAGGUCUCAAGCGUUGUUCGGAUUCAUUGGGCGUAAAGGGUGCGUAGGCGGCGCGGUAAGUCGGGUGUGAAAUCUCGGAGCUUAACUCCGAAACUGCAUUCGAUACUGCCGUGCUUGAGGACUGGAGAGGAGACUGGAAUUUACGGUGUAGCGGUGAAAUGCGUAGAUAUCGUAAGGAAGACCAGUGGCGAAGGCGGGUCUCUGGACAGUUCCUGACGCUGAGACACGAAGGCCAGGGGAGCAAACGGGAUUAGAUACCCCGGUAGUCCUGGCAGUAAACGGUGCACGUUUGGUGUGGGAGGAUUCGACCCCUUCUGCGCCGGAGCUAACGCGUUAAACGUGCCGCCUGGGGAGUACGUCGCAGAUUAAACUCAAAGAAAUUGACGGGGCCCGCACAAGCGGUGGAGUAUGUGGCUCAUUCGAUGCACGCG